This 497-nucleotide ribosomal RNA is filed under the name uncultured bacterium. RNAcentral describes it as "partial 16S ribosomal RNA". It matches the Rfam family "Bacterial small subunit ribosomal RNA", at positions 28 to 507 of the family's 1533-position model. The record is from RNAcentral.
GAUGAACGCUGGCGGCGUGCCUAACACAUGCAAGUCGAGCGAACGGACGAGAAGCUUGCUUCUCUGAUGUUAGCGGCGGACGGGUGAGUAACACGUGGAUAACCUACCUAUAAGACUGGGAUAACUUCGGGAAACGGGAGCUAAUACCGCAUAAGCUCUUGAUCCGCAUUGUUCAUAAGUGAAAGACGGUCUUUCUGUCACUUAUAGAUGCAUCUGCGCUGCAUUAGCUAGUUGGUAAGGUAACGGCUUACGAAGGCAACGAUGCAUAGCCGACCUGAGUGAGUGAUAGGCCACCCUGGCAGUGAGACAGAGUCCAGACUCCUGCGGGGAGCCGCAGUCGGGAAUCUUCCGCAAUGGGGGAGAGCCUGACGGAGCAACGCGGCGUGAGUGAUGAAGGUCCGCGGAUCGUAAGACGCUGUUAUUAGGGAAAAACAUAUGUGUAAGUGACUGUGCACAUCUUGACGGUACCUAAUAAGAAAGCAACGGCUAACUACGUG